This 467-nucleotide ribosomal RNA is filed under the name Spurlingia forsteriana. Its description in RNAcentral is "partial 12S ribosomal RNA". The record is from RNAcentral. Lineage: Eukaryota; Metazoa; Mollusca; Gastropoda; Stylommatophora; Camaenidae.
GUCAAACUUUAGUUAGGGGAAUAUGCAGCGAUCAAACGCACCAGCAGCAUAACUCGUGGUGAAAUACUCAAAUAAAUACCACUAUCUGUGUGUAUUACAAGCGAAACAUUGCUGCUAAACGAGGAUUAGAGACCCUCUUAUACAAAUGCUCAAUAACGAUUGCGGGGGACUACAACUAUAAGAGUUAAAACUCAAGCAACAUGGCGGUAAUUUUUACUUAGGGGAACUUACGCCGUAAUUGAUAACCACCAAGGUUAAGCAACUUCAGCAAACUCUUGUAUGCCGUCGUCGUCAGGUGGCACUUUAUGUUCCACCAUAAUAGAAACCUAAAAAGACAGAUCAAGGUGCAGACAAUGCUGAAGAGGUAGCGAGUUACAAUUUUAAUUACUAACAGAAAAACUAUGAAAAUAACAUUGAAGGAGGACUUAACAGUAAUAAAUAUAAUUAACAGUUUAUGAACUAUUUAG